This is a long non-coding RNA of Thalassophryne amazonica, 146 nucleotides long. RefSeq lists it as uncharacterized. The transcript is spliced from 3 exons. NCBI's taxonomy places the organism in Eukaryota, Metazoa, Chordata, Actinopteri, Batrachoidiformes, Batrachoididae. The record is from RefSeq and is a predicted model, not a curated record.
AAUCACUUUCCAGGUGGACAGUAAUCCAUGAGGAUCCCAGCGGUCUGAUUGGUUCUAACAGAAUAUUGGUACCAAAUUUCUCUUUGUUAAACACAAACUAUUAAACUCAUGUUUAAUUGUGAUUGUUGGCUGUAUGCUGUGCUAAC